This 71-nucleotide transfer RNA is filed under the name Marmota monax (woodchuck). RNAcentral describes it as "tRNA.Ala". It matches the Rfam family "tRNA". Rfam says of the family: Transfer RNA (tRNA) molecules are approximately 80 nucleotides in length. Their secondary structure includes four short double-helical elements and three loops (D, anti-codon, and T loops). Lineage: Eukaryota; Metazoa; Chordata; Mammalia; Rodentia; Sciuridae. The record is from RNAcentral.
GGGGUUGUGGCUCAGUGGUAGAGCACUCGCCUAGCAUGUGUGAGGCACUGGGUUCUAUUCUCAGCACCACA